GCAUUAAUGGGGUAGUGGUAACCUUAGUCGUUGCCAUGUGCUAGAUCGACUAGCCACGAGUUCGAUUCUCGUUUAAUGCA
Non-coding RNA from Hysterangium stoloniferum, 80 nucleotides. NCBI's taxonomy places the organism in Eukaryota, Fungi, Basidiomycota, Agaricomycetes, Hysterangiales, Hysterangiaceae. The record is from the annotation of a GenBank genome assembly.